UUCAUAGAGUGUAAAGGCAUAAGGGAGCUUGACUGCGAGACCUACAAGUCGAGCAGGGUCGAAAGACGGACUUAGUGAUCCGGUGGUUCCGCAUGGAAGGGCCAUCGCUCAACGGAUAAAAGCUACCCCGGGGAUAACAGGCUUAUCUCCCCCAAGAGUUCACAUCGACGGGGAGGUUUGGCACCUCGAUGUCGGCUCAUCGCAUCCUGGGGCUGUAGUCGGUCCCAAGGGUUGGGCUGUUCGCCCAUUAAAGCGGUACGCGAGCUGGGUUCAGAACGUCGUGAGACAGUUCGGUCCCUAUCCGUCGUGGGCGUAGGAAAUUUGAGAGGAGCUGUCCUUAGUACGAGAGGACCGGGAUGGACAUACCUCUGGUGUACCAGUUGUCGUGCCAACGGCAUAGCUGGGUAGCUAUGUGUGGACGGGAUAAGUGCUGAAAGCAUCUAAGCAUGAAGCCCCCCUCAAGAUGAGAUUUCCCAACUUCGGUUAUAAGAUCCCUCAAAGAUGAUGAGGUUAAUAGGUUCGAGGUGGAAGCAUGGUGACAUGUGGAGCUGACGAAUACUAAUCGAUCGAAGACU
RNAcentral lists this ribosomal RNA (575 nucleotides) under Staphylococcus aureus. RNAcentral's name for it is "partial 23S ribosomal RNA". It matches the Rfam family "Bacterial large subunit ribosomal RNA", at positions 2341 to 2925 of the family's 2925-position model. Lineage: Bacteria; Bacillati; Bacillota; Bacilli; Caryophanales; Staphylococcaceae. The record is from RNAcentral.